GAGGGUAUAGCUCAGUGGUAGAGUGUGUGCUUAGGGUGCGUGAGGUCAUGGGUUCAAUCCCAAGUACCUCCA
Molecule: transfer RNA, 72 nt
Filed under: Camelus bactrianus (Bactrian camel)
Lineage: Eukaryota; Metazoa; Chordata; Mammalia; Artiodactyla; Camelidae
Also listed under: 2 other names
Rfam family: tRNA
About the family: Transfer RNA (tRNA) molecules are approximately 80 nucleotides in length. Their secondary structure includes four short double-helical elements and three loops (D, anti-codon, and T loops).
Source: Rfam by way of RNAcentral